AUGAGUAAAGCAUUGGAAAUUCAAAAUAGUAAAAAUUCAAUUUAUGAAAAGGAGUUCAUGGCUGUAAUUAUGACAAUUGACAAGCGGCGUGCUUACCUCCAGCGGGGACCCGUUACUAUACUCACGGAUCAUCAGAGUUUGUGCUCCCUUACAGAUCAACACCUCACUACUGAACUACAGAAAAAGGCAAUGUCAAAGCUGUUGGGCUUGCAAUUCUCGAUAAAGUAUCGCAAGGGCAUGAGCGAGAACAAUGCUGCUGACUGUUUGUCCAGAGUGGAUCACUUACUACAGAUGAAUGCCCUGUCAAUUUUUCAACCUGAAUGGGCACAAGAAAUCUUGAGUUCUUAUGAUAUGGACUCUGAAGCUAUGGAGUUACUUGCUCAGCUAGCCGUGAAGAGCCCUGAUGCACGUGGCUAUUCGUUGGACAAGGGCUUGAUUCGUUACAAUGGGCGGUUGUACAUCGACAACCAUUUGUCCUUGCAAACAAAGAUUCUCAGCGCUUUGCAUGACAGCUCAGUGGGGGGUGGGGGGGGGGGGAUUCUGGCAUUCAUGCCACCUAUCAGCGGGUGCGUAAGGUGUUCUUUUGGCCAGGCCUGA
This 597-nucleotide ribosomal RNA is filed under the name Triticum aestivum (bread wheat). RNAcentral describes it as "partial small subunit ribosomal RNA". The record is from RNAcentral. Lineage: Eukaryota; Viridiplantae; Streptophyta; Magnoliopsida; Poales; Poaceae.